GCACUGGUGGUUCAGCAGUAGAAUUCUCGCCUUUCAUGUAGGAGACCCAGGUUUGAUUCCCAGCCAGUGCA
Molecule: transfer RNA, 71 nt
Filed under: Loxodonta africana (African savanna elephant)
Lineage: Eukaryota; Metazoa; Chordata; Mammalia; Proboscidea; Elephantidae
Rfam family: tRNA
About the family: Transfer RNA (tRNA) molecules are approximately 80 nucleotides in length. Their secondary structure includes four short double-helical elements and three loops (D, anti-codon, and T loops).
Source: Rfam by way of RNAcentral